AGCAGCCGCGGUAAAUUCCAGCUCCAAUAGCGUAUAUUAAAGUUGUUGCAGUUAAAAAGCUCGUAGUUGAAUUUCGGGAUCAAUUUAUUGGUCGUGCUAUCGUACGUACUGGUAUUAUUGAUUCCUACCUUCUGACGAACCAUGAUGUCAUUAAUUUGGUGUCUUGGGGAAUCAGGACUGUUACUUUGAAAAAAUUAGAGUGUUUAAAGUAGGCUCACGCUUGAAUACGUUAGCAUGGAAUAACGAAAUAGGACGUUUGAUUCUAUUUUGUUGGUUUCUAGGAUCGACGUAAUGAUUAAUAGGGAUAGUUGGGGGCAUUAGUAAUCAAUUGUCAGAGGUGAAAUUCUUGGAUUUAUUGAAGACUAACUACUGCGAAGGCAUUUGCCAAGGAUGUUUUCAU
Molecule: ribosomal RNA, 400 nt
Filed under: uncultured Glomeromycotina
Lineage: Eukaryota; Fungi; Glomeromycota
Description: SSU rRNA
Rfam family: Eukaryotic small subunit ribosomal RNA
Source: RNAcentral